Molecule: long non-coding RNA, 792 nt
Organism: Felis catus (domestic cat)
Lineage: Eukaryota; Metazoa; Chordata; Mammalia; Carnivora; Felidae
Exons: 2
Source: RefSeq, a predicted model, not a curated record
AGCUCCCAGAUAGCACGAGUCUCUCCUUCUUCCUCAGGCCCUCAGCCGUAGGUACGUCUCUGCCUCUGCCUCACAGAUCUCUCUGUGACCAAGCCACCAUGUAGGAAAGUUCCUGGAGGAAACAAACAUUUACGGACCUCACAGUUCGGGGUUAGCUGGAUCAUUUCUUGGAAGAUUUCUGAUCUGUAACAGAAGACAUAGCAGAGUCUUGCUUUUUAGUCCCCACCUCUGUCCCUGGCUCCUCACCUGCAUGUGCUAGUUACACAACAAAUGGCUUUUUUUUUUUUCUUUAUACUCACAUGCAGUGAAUUUUAGUUCGUAUCCUAAUUGUUUGGAUUUUUUUUUUUAACAAAUGCUUUUUAGACGGCAAAUGUUAAAAUGAAUUUUGCCAAUGCCCCAUGCUUCUCUUCCCACUCAGUUCACAGAAAGCAAGUUUGGGCCUGCCUCUGAUCUCUUGCAGCAGCAAGCUAAUCUCCAAGAUGACCUCACUGCAGAACUGUGUUUUAUAAUCAGCUAGCAAAUCUCAGCAUGAACCAAGAGCAAAGGUUAGAAAGACAAUAAAAAUACAAACAAGCCAGGAUUGUACAAGUCAGGUUAGUUCAGAGAACCAGCUGGACCUAUGAUUAAAUUUUAAUUAAAAAAAGAAACAAAAAACCAACAACUAUAGGAGGAGAAGCCUUCCCAGCAGAUAAGAAUCCUUUUCAGAAGAAGAGCAAGACCUUUUUCUUAUUAACAAAUGGAGAUGUUGUAGUUCCUGAGAUAAUAAACAAAGGAAAAGGAUUUGAAAAUUCA